Molecule: small RNA, 628 nt
Filed under: Halalkalibacterium halodurans C-125
Lineage: Bacteria; Bacillati; Bacillota; Bacilli; Caryophanales; Bacillaceae
Source: RNAcentral
GUCUUUUAGAAUAAGAGUGGUGCAGUAUUCUAGUCAAUCCUCCAUUCUUGAAGGCGGGGCUAAAAAUCCGCCAAAGGGCACAUCGAUGAAGCUCCUUGUGAUGGCUUGAGGCGCCCAGCCUUGGGUCAUUGCUGGGAGAAAAGGUAGUAGGGCGAUCCACAAAGGCAUGUGGGCGAUGACCCUCCUACUGUGGAGGCCUUUUUCUCUGCUGCUUAUGUAUGGACAUAGGGCAAGAGCAAAGGGUAUGAACCUGCGAAGGCAAGCUAGGGAGCUUGUCAGCAGCGUAGCCUGCCUUGAGUGGAGUAGAGGGGAUUAUGGGUUUUGAAGCAAUCCGCUGUCGGCCAACAGCCAUUGCCUCUCUAGUACCAUAUGAAAUCUGCUCUGCAAAAGAGGAUAAGAGAAUGGCAAGGGAUUGCCGAGGAAAACUCCUAGACUGUUCCAUGGGGACAUUUAAAGAGGAUUACAGUGUGGACUAAGUGGUAAUCCAGUCUGGCGUUUGGUGACAGCGCCAAGUUCAACAUAAAGGGAAACCGCCAGCGCGGCGACGCACUGGUGUUGAAUUGGGAAAUCCUACUGGACCUAAGCCACAGAGUUUACUCUUUAAAUGACCACUCUCAUACAUACGCAG